CUAUGUCCAAAACGUCGCACCUCUUAACACUCUGACAUCCCAUAGAAAUUUCCGUGCAGGGAUGCACGGAAAAGAUGCAGCUAAGCCAUGGAUGGCGCAUCUGCAUCGGUUUCGUCCGUCCCCGAUACCCCACACCAGAGUGUUUAGAAGUGCAGUUUUGGGACAUC
This is a non-coding RNA of Clostridiales bacterium 44_9, 167 nucleotides long. Lineage: Bacteria; Bacillati; Bacillota; Clostridia; Eubacteriales. The record is from Rfam.